Molecule: non-coding RNA, 4968 nt
Organism: Python bivittatus (Burmese python)
Lineage: Eukaryota; Metazoa; Chordata; Lepidosauria; Squamata; Pythonidae
Source: RefSeq, a predicted model, not a curated record
AAUAAAAUAAAAUAAAAUAAAUCCUAGAAUUCCUGAUGAAGAGUAAUGGAAAAUCAGCUUCGUUUGAGAGGACUUUUUUUUUAUCCCAUCAAGUUCUCAUAGAAUCCCAAGGUUCUGUGGAACAUAGUUUGAAAAACCCUAAUGUAAAUAGCUGAAACCCACCUAGUCAGAUAAUAGGAAAACUGUUAAAAAGAAAUUAACCAAGGCAGAAUUGGUGGCACUAAGGGCCAUUAGGGAGGUCAGCUUAGACCUAGACAAAGUCUCAUUUGAUGGCUAGGCCCAGGGCCUCAUAGAUAAAUUCUUCUUCCUUCUGGACAAGGCUAUCAUGACCUUUCCCAAGAAGCUGGUUUUCCCUCAUCUCCCAUGGUGUGUGAAUGUGGAGACAAUUGCUUAGAAGGGAAAAAGAGGAAUAGGAAAAAAUGGAGUAAGAAGGGACCAGAAAGGCUUACUCACAGGCAUUCAAGCUGGAGGCCCAGAUAAUUUAUUCAAGGAGUUAAUGGGUGAUUAGAUGAGCUAGAAUGGCUAUUUUGUGUGUGUGUGUGUGUGUGUGUGUGAGAGAGAGAGAGAGAGAGAGAGAGAGAGAGAGAGGCCUUUCCUGGUUUUCCUAUCAUUUUUAAUUUCAUUUCAUCCCCACCAUUUCAAUUCCAUACGCUUGCAUGGCUACAUAGCUACCUCUUGUGUUCCAGUAACAUAAUUUCUCAGUACAGUGUUCCCCACAUAUGAGGCAGAAUAGUUAUAUAGCUACCUCUUCAGUUUCAGAAUCAUCACAGUGUUUCUGAACUUUGCAGAAAGAUCUCAAGUACCUUCCUUUCUAUUUUCCCAGAGCUGGGAUGAAGGAAAAAAUCCUGGGUGGAAUUCCCCAGGUAGAUAAACAAGUUGGUUUCAGGGAGUGCAGCCUGACUGAAGGCAGUCUGUGAUAAUUCUCUUUUAUGGGGGAAUCCUGGGAAGAAGGAUUCUGACAGAAAGGUGUAAACUCUCUUCUCCUGACCUGGAUUGUAACCACAUGGCCAACCAUUAAAAGCUUUCUCUGGGCUAUUUAAGCAGAACAAAGCAAGGCAAGAACUUCCUGACAUAGGUGUUGAAAACUACACACUGUGUAUAGUCUUCCUCCUCCUGUUCCAUGUAGUUCCACCAGGCUGAAGCCUGUGGUCUGCAUUAGUCAUGAAAAGAGUUGAGCAUGAGGAGGCAUUAUUUGCAGUUCAUGGUGCCCUAGACUGGAAAUGUUGGGCACUAUUCAGUAUCUGUUCCCUUGGAGCCCUAUGACAAGCGUUUAUCUCCAUCUUCAGAUUCCCACACCCCCAAGAGUGGUUUCAAAGUUGAGCUGCUAGUGCAAGAGUAUAGGUUUGCAGCUUCCCCAUGGAGGAAAAAAAGUAGUCCUUGCACUGCACUUAGAUGUAAGCGCAUACCAAAUUAAAAGAUUCAAUAUUAAAUAGGGUAGAUGCAAAGCAUGGGAAGCCUAACCACAAAACAGCGCCCUACAUAUAAAUGCAUUCUUGCAUGAGAUUUUGAUUCCAACCAAAAGGACGGUUUUCAUAUUUCAACCUGUGGGAUGCAAUGUUGCACACAGGAUCCAUCGAAGACUUAGUUGGUGCUUUGUGCAAGCGUGGAAUCAUUGCCUGCUGAAUACAGAUGGAUGGAGAUUGGCAGAAAAAGGAAAGAAGGAAAAGGAAAAGAAAGUAAUUUUCCACAGGCCCAAGCAGCCACUCCCUUGCAUUGUUUCAGCCUUGCACAAAGCAGGAAAGACCAUUAAAGGGAGCCAGAGCAGUCCAGCACCAUUGCACUAAACCCCUGACGUAGCAGCAACUCCUGCUCCAACCUGUUCCUUACAUUUAAAUACAGGCAGUCCUCAGGUUACGCAAGAUGCGACUCAUUAAUUUGACUAUAACAAGGAGUGCAAAAGAUGGCAGCGACCACAUUUGUGCAUGCGGAAAAAAGCCGGUCACCAUUUUGCAUACAGGGUGUGGUGACUGCUACACAACAGUGAUAAUUGUGUUACAAGAGUGACGACUGUGCUACACAGAAGUUGACUUGUGAAAGGGGUCCAGGAAUGGAGUGGUACUAUAAACUGGGACUGUCUGUAGUAACUAGAAGUCUCCAUCAUGUGGAGUUGAAUCCUGGUGAUUUGCUUGGCAAUGAUACCUCCCCCCCGCACAAUAAUAUUUUUUUAAACAUUUUGCAUGUCAAACUGUAUCUCUGCUCUUUUGGGAGAGGAUUGCAGAAUGGUGAUAGAGGAGGCUGACUGGGAAGCAGAAGAGAGGAGACCUGCUUGCACCAGUGUGAAACACCAAACAAACACCUCUGAUCACACCCACUACUAGUUCACCUCUACACCUAACAGACUUAACCCCGCCUUGAGAUGAUGUCCUUGGAUGAUAUCCUGUUGGAGGAGCCCCAGAUUGUGCCCCGUUUGUUGGAACAACUUCAGGGAGACAUGCCUGCUAGCGAGCAAGGGGCAUUGUUCCAAAGUCUUCCCUGAGAAACUCUACAAGCAGGAGCUUGCUGAGCCUGAAGUGGAAAGGAUCAAAACGAAGGAGCCAUUGUGGCUAGGCCUGCGAGAAAGAGGCAGACAAGAAGUGGUGAGAAGCAGCCAGGAGCCACCGUGUGAAUUUUCUGCCCAAGGUUUGCAGGGCUGGCAGACUCUCUGGCAGCUUGGUUUGCUCAAGCAAGGAACCAGUGGCUUAACUUUCUCUGUCUAAAAGUCUUUUCUCAUGAUUUUGCAUCACAGACUCACUGGGAGCGGCAGGGAGGCCCUGCCUUUUUACUGGCAGGCUCCUCUUCAGAUCCCAUAGUGUAGGGGUGGGGAACCUGGGGGGCCUUCUUGUGUGGGUGAACUACAGCCUCAGCAAAUCUAGCCAGCAUGGACAGUGGUGAGGGAUGCUGGGAGUCGUAGUUCAGUCACACACUGCCUUUGGCAGAUAGAACCAAGGAGUAACUGCCUAAAUUUAGGGAACACACCUAGACCAAGCAAAGUUGUGCUUCCAUGUCCCUUUGGGAAUUCACUUGCUAAUUGCUGGUUAUUUUACCUAUGAAAUAAAUGUUAAGGAAAACGGAAUGAAGAGGAGCAGCUGUUGAAAGUCCAAGUGGGAGACUGUCACAUCUCCCAGUUCCAAAAUGGAUGAGAGCUGCUUUAAUUUUUGUCCCUUAAAUUUCCCAGUUUCUUCUGCUCUGUCGAGAAACAAAUGAAAAAAGCAAACAAGUUCAAGCACCAAAUAAAACUAUAUAGUGAAUUUUACUGUAUAUGGACCAGCUAGAAUCGAGGAAACAGUUCUGGGAGAGGAAGAAUCAAAAUGGCAGCUGGACUGUUUGUCCAAGGGCCACACCCUAAAUUUGCCUUUGACCAUGUUGGUUGAGGCUACAGGAGUUGAAGUUUGGGUGGGUUGACACAAACCGUAUGGAAAAAAGACUGGGCUUGUUCCUGUGAUUCAUGGGCUUCCUUCUAGAUUAUCAGUAUAUUCAGCCUCAAUAACCCUGGAAAAAAAAACUCCAUUCUUUAGUCAUCACAACAAGGACUUAAGAAUAAUAUUAUGUCAACGUUAUUCAUAAGGUAAUCAUUAAUUAUAAAUACAACUCAUUUGAGUAAUUCCUUUGGUGAAUUUAGGAAAGUACCAGAUGGGAAGGAUUUUGCUGCUAUAACAGCUGUUUUGCAAAUGCUUCAUGUUGAUAUAAUUUUCUACCUUCAUGGAUCUCUUUUGGAUAAACUGUAAUGCUCAACUAGCUUCUAGAGCAGUGUUUCUCAACCGUGGCAACUUAAAGAAGUGUGGACUUCAACUCCCAGAAUUCCCCAGCCAGCAUGCUGGCUGAGGAAUUCUGGGAGUUGACAUGUUCAAGCCGCCAAGGUUGAGAUACAGUGUUCUAGACUCUGGACAAGGUUGUAGGAAAAUGGCACAAUGAGAAAAAAAAUCAUUCACUGAAUCAGAAGGUUUCUUCCCAAAUAGGCUACCUGGAAAUUUUGGAUUUCAAUUUCCAUAGUCCCCUGGCUGCAGAUUAUAGGAAUUGGUCCAGCACAUCUACUAGAUGCUAGGUUGGGAAAGGCUGGAAAAGCAGAUAAAAGUGCGUGGCUUAUUCUGAUCAGUAGGUGUCACUAUAUCUACACCAACAGUCAAGAUUGUCUUCUAGUGGCCAGGAGCUUAGGCCCAAAGAACAAUUUGUUAGCAGAUUUGGGAGAAAUGGAGGGCUCACUCAUGCACUUCCUACAACUUAAUGACUCAGUAUUCACUCACAGCUGAACAUGCAUGAACAGAUUCCACUGAAUUUAGUGUGACUAAAUUUGUUCUGAAAACGUAUUGCAUAUAUAUGUCACUGUUGACUGGAUAAGGGAUGAAUCAGUGAAGAAAGCUGUAGUAUUUCUAGCCUCUACAAUCUAGUCUCACAUUCUCAUCACAUGACUGCUUUAACUUAUCUUGUAUAAAUAACACAAGGUAUCUAAACAUGUUAAAAGAUAUUGAUUCAUACAAUUGCUCAGAGGGCACAGUAGAGGAAACAAAUAGUUAAAUCAUAGCUCACUGAUCUCUUUGAAGAACUGAUAGCUUUAACUGAUACCAAAGAUUUACAGGUCAGAGGACCAGAAAAAGUUUUUAGGUUUAUUCUUCUUCCUGAAGAAAGUUUGCUACAGAGGAGUUACACAAACACUGUAAGUACAGGCACCCUUAGUGGCAGUCAUUAGUCUGGUUAAAUUGUUGUGGUUUUGAUAUGGGCAAUAACCUCUCAGAGCAAAACAUAGCUUUAGAAUCAACUAGAGUAGGAAGCAAGCCUCUCCAGAGCUCUCCAAGUCUAACAGACUAAAAAAAUUAUCUUUAGGGCUCCCCCAGAGCCAUCAGUGGCUGUAGGUCCCUGAAAUCUUGCUGGAUAUCUGUGCACAAAGGUACAUCAGUUUCUGUGUCCUCAAAGCUGUUAUUGUUGGUCGUGCAGUCAGCCAGAUGUUUAGACUGGAUUUAGCAUUUUUAUCUACCUAUCGAGUAGGUAGAGAUA